UACGUAGGGGGCAAGCGUUGUCCGGAAUCAUUGGGCGUAAAGCGUGCGUAGGCGGCCCGGUAAGUCCGCUGUAAAAGUCCAGGGCUCAACCCUGGAAAGCCGGUGGAUACUGUCGGGCUAGAGUCCGGAAGAGGCGAGUGGAAUUCCUGGUGUAGCGGUGGAAUGCGCAGAUAUCAGGAGGAACACCGAUGGCGAAGGCAGCUCGCUGGGACGGUACUGACGCUGAGGCGCGAAAGCGUGGGGAGCGAACAGG
Molecule: ribosomal RNA, 253 nt
Filed under: uncultured bacterium
Lineage: Bacteria
Description: partial 16S ribosomal RNA
Rfam family: Bacterial small subunit ribosomal RNA
Source: RNAcentral